GAAAGAAAAAAGAGAGGUGAGCAGUUAUAAUGUUCAACAUUUAUAUUUCUACAAGAAUAAGAAAAAUUUUUAGAUGAGAGGAACCUUCAAGGAGAUUGUUAGAUAGGUCGAGGACUUUGAGGUAGGACAUGUUCCCAAUUGACAGCGAAGAAUGGAGAUAGUUUUUGCCAAGAAAUAGAUACUCCAGCGCAGUUAGCUUGAAUAACCAACUUGGUAAGGUGGAACUAAUUUGAUUAUUGGAAAGAUCGAGGAUAGACAGAUAUGUGAAAUUCAAUUGUGGCAAGGUGUAAGGAAUGCUUGCAAUCUGACAUUGAGAUAAGUGAAUCUCCAUUAUGUAAGGCAACAUGUUCAGUGCUUCUGCCCAAUUUGAUGCAUUGCUAAUGUUAGUUCCUGUCAUGUCAAGGUGCUGCAACAAUGUUAAACGGGAAAGCCACGAUGCAUCGUCAACAUCAAGAUUGUUGUAUGAGAGAUCCAAAUAGAGUAAGCUGGAGAGGUUCCCUAGUUGCUGUGGCACUGUUGUCAAGAAACCUGCACCUGAGAGAUUCAGGUACCCCAAGUUCUUAUAUGAUCCAAAGAAGUCUGGUAUACUAGAUCGAAAGUCAUUCAUGCUCAAAUCAAGGUAGUUCAAGUAUUCGAGAGUCAUCAGUGUUGAACUUAUCUCCUCCACUAGGAUCAAGGACCAGGAAGCAUCAGAAGGUGAAUCUGUGUGUGGCUGGGGAUUCCGGAGGUCUAGUUUGAUGACUCUCCCUAGCUGGUCGUCGCAGCCCACACCGUGCCAUGUGC
RNAcentral lists this long non-coding RNA (783 nucleotides) under Musa acuminata (dwarf banana). RNAcentral describes it as "long non-coding RNA (MACU_LNC000067)". Lineage: Eukaryota; Viridiplantae; Streptophyta; Magnoliopsida; Zingiberales; Musaceae. The record is from RNAcentral.